Poecile atricapillus (Black-capped chickadee) is the source of this 779-nucleotide long non-coding RNA. RefSeq lists it as uncharacterized. The record is from RefSeq and is a predicted model, not a curated record. The transcript has 7 exons. NCBI's taxonomy places the organism in Eukaryota, Metazoa, Chordata, Aves, Passeriformes, Paridae.
GCGAUCGCGGCCAGCCGGGGCCGACGCACCGAGCCGCCGCCCCUGUCACGCCGGGGCAGCGGUCGCCGAACGCUGCCCCGCGGCCCCCCCGCCUCCUCCUCCUCCUCCGCCCGCGGAGCCGCGGGCGACUCGCAGGCAAAAAUCCCUUUCAUGACCAAGGAAGGAGGCAACAACAUUUUUACAGUCUUGUGAAGCGCCUGUUACUAGAAAUUAUUUUCACUUUGUUCCUGAAAAGUAUGCCAAGUUUACUGGUGUUUGCUGGUGAUGUUACAAAUAGAUGCAGGUGUGGCAGGAGGGAGCAUGAGCUUUCCAAUGGAACAUGUGACAGCAGGGACCUGUUCCAGGAGUCUCAGCUGGGGCAUCUCUGGAGACUCUGGACUGGUGACUGAAAUUGUUUAGAAAAGACUAAUUAUGUGUGUGAAUUGCUGCUAUGCAUAAACCUGUGUCAAACUUGUUUGAAGUUCGUGAAAUGAUGGGAAGCUGUCCUGCAGCCUGUGAGAAGGGUGCUUUCCUAGCAUCAAAGUGAGGACACAGAACAAUAAUCAAGUGGAUGAAAUCUGAAUUCCAAGCUUUCAAGUGAAGAGAAACAAAGACAGUUGUUUGAGACCUAAGAAACCAGGAAGAGAGCUUCAGAUUACGGUUGCUACUGAACGCAUCCGAAAGAGGUGGGACCACGCAGAUCUAAGUGACAUUGCCAUGCUGACAGCAGAGAGGAAACCAGUCCUGGACAAGAUGGAACUCAAAGAACUUUUUCUCUGCAGAACACCCUCUGAAAGAAA